GACGAACGCUGGCGGCGUGCUUAACACAUGCAAGUCGAACGCUGAAGCUCCGCUUUUGUUGGGUGGAUGAGUGGCGAACGGGUGAGUAACACGUGAGUAACCUGCCCCGUUCUUUGGGAUAACGCCCGGAAACGGGUGCUAAUACUGGAUAUUCACUGGUCUUCGCAUGGGGGCUGGUGGAAAGUGCUGUUCUGGUGGGGGAUGGGCUCGCGGCCUAUCAGCUUGUUGGUGGGGUGAUGGCCUACCAAGGCUUUGACGGGUAGCCGGCCUGAGAGGGUGACCGGGCACAUUGGGACUGAGAUACGGCCCAGAUUCCUACGGGAGGUAGCAGUGGGGAAUAUUGUACAAUGGGUGAAAGUCUGAUGGCGCGACGGCGCGGGAGGGGUGGAGGCCUGCGGGUUGUGAACCUCUUUCGCCAAUGGUCAAGCCGCAACAAUGGUUGUAGUGACGGUAGUGGGUAAAGAAGCGCCGGCUAACUACGUG
This 483-nucleotide ribosomal RNA is filed under the name uncultured bacterium. Its description in RNAcentral is "partial 16S ribosomal RNA". It matches the Rfam family "Bacterial small subunit ribosomal RNA", at positions 28 to 507 of the family's 1533-position model. The record is from RNAcentral.